CCUACGGGAGGCAGCAGUGGGGAAUAUUGGGCCAUGGGCGCAAGCCUGACCCAGCAACGCCGCGUGAAGGAAGAAGGCUUUCGGGUUGUAAACUUCUUUUGUCAGGGACGAAGCAAGUGACGGUACCUGACGAAUAAGCCACGGCUAACUACGUGCCAGCAGCCGCGGUAAUACGUAGGUGGCAAGCGUUAUCCGGAUUUAUUGGGUGUAAAGGGCGUGGCGGCGGGAAUGCAAGUCAGAUGUGAAAACUAUGGGCUUAACCCAUAGCCUGCAUUUGAAACUGUAUUUCUUGAGUGCUGGAGAGGCAAUCGGAAUUCCGUGUGUAGCGGUGAAAUGCGUAGAUAUACGGAGGAACACCAGUGGCGAAGGCGGAUUGCUGGACAGUAACUGACGCUGAGGCGCGAAAGCGUGGGGAGCAAACAGGAUUAGAUACCCGUGUAGUC
RNAcentral lists this ribosomal RNA (443 nucleotides) under uncultured bacterium. Its description in RNAcentral is "partial 16S ribosomal RNA". It matches the Rfam family "Bacterial small subunit ribosomal RNA", at positions 338 to 795 of the family's 1533-position model. The record is from RNAcentral.